This 248-nucleotide long non-coding RNA is filed under the name Lathyrus oleraceus (garden pea). RNAcentral describes it as "Pisum sativum (pea) long non-coding RNA (PSAT_LNC000834)". The record is from RNAcentral. Lineage: Eukaryota; Viridiplantae; Streptophyta; Magnoliopsida; Fabales; Fabaceae.
UCAUAUUAUCACUGUGUUGGAUUCUGGACAGGUGUGGUUCAUGUGAUUUGGGGUGGGUGUUCUGAGUGGGGCUAAAACCCAGGCCCGAGUAUACACCUAGGAUUAGCAUGGUCUCACGUCUCCUCACAUGUUGGAUCAGCAUGUUGUUGCGACGUGACAUACCACAGCCGGUCGAGGUUCUUUUGAGAGAGCCCCUCCUUGUGGAGUAUCCACUAUGGUUGGGUUACCUCUUUUGAGCUGUUGACUUC